GAUGAACGCUAGCUACAGGCUUAACACAUGCAAGUCGAGGGGAAACGGCAUCGAAAGCUUGCUUUUGAUGGGCGUCGACCGGCGCACGGGUGAGUAACGCGUAUCCAACCUGCCCAUCACUUGGGAAUAACCUUGCGAAAGUAAGACUAAUGCCCAAUGACAUCCCACGAAGGCAUCCGAAUGGGAUUAAAGAUUUAUCGGUGAUGGAUGGGGAUGCGUCUGAUUAGCUUGUUGGCGGGGUGACGGCCCACCAAGGCAACGAUCAGUAGGGGUUCUGAGAGGAAGGUCCCCCACAUUGGAACUGAGACACGGUCCAAACGUCUACGGGAGGCAGCAGUGAGGAAUAGUGGUCAAUGGGCGAGAGCCUGAACCAGCCAAGUAGCGUGCAGGAUGACGGCCCUAUGGGUUGUAAACUGCUUUUAUAAGGGAAUAAAGUGGGUCACGUGUGACUUUUUGCAUGUACCUUAUGAAUAAGGACCGGCUAAUUCCGUG
Molecule: ribosomal RNA, 492 nt
Filed under: uncultured bacterium
Lineage: Bacteria
Description: partial 16S ribosomal RNA
Rfam family: Bacterial small subunit ribosomal RNA
Source: RNAcentral